UACGUAGGUGGCAAGCGUUGUCCGGAUUUAUUGGGCGUAAAGCGAGCGCAGGCGGUUCUUUAAGUCUGAUGUGAAAGCCCCCGGCUUAACCGGGGAGGGUCAUUGGAAACUGGGGAACUUGAGUGCAGAAGAGGAGAGUGGAAUUCCAUGUGUAGCGGUGAAAUGCGUAGAUAUAUGGAGGAACACCAGUGGCGAAGGCGGCUCUCUGGUCUGUAACUGACGUUGAGGCUCGAAAGUGUGGGUAGCAAAC
Molecule: ribosomal RNA, 250 nt
Filed under: uncultured bacterium
Lineage: Bacteria
Description: partial 16S ribosomal RNA
Rfam family: Bacterial small subunit ribosomal RNA
Source: RNAcentral